This 428-nucleotide ribosomal RNA is filed under the name uncultured archaeon. Its description in RNAcentral is "bacterial SSU rRNA". It matches the Rfam family "Archaeal small subunit ribosomal RNA", at positions 474 to 903 of the family's 1478-position model. The record is from RNAcentral.
UACCAGCUCUCCGAGUGGUAGGGAUGAUUAUUGGGCUUAAAGCGUCCGUAGCCGGCUUAGCAAGUCUCCUGUUAAAUUCAGCGACCUAAUCGUUGAGCCGCGGGAGAUACUAUUAGGCUAGGAGGCGGGAGAGGUCAACGGUACUUCUGGGGUAGGGGUGAAAUCCUAUAAUCCCAGGAGGACCACCAGUGGCGAAGGCUGUUGACUAGAACGCGCUCGACGGUGAGGGACGAAAGCUGGGGGAGCGAACCGGAUUAGAUACCCGGGUAGUCCCAGCUGUAAACGAUGCGGGCUAGGUGUUGGGGUGGCUACGUGCCACUUCAGUGCCGCAGGGAAGCCAUUAAGCUCGCCGCCUGGGGAGUACGGCCGCAAGGCUGAAACUUAAAGGAAUUGGCGGGGAGCACCACAAGGCGUGAAGCUUGCGGUUC